Molecule: ribosomal RNA, 253 nt
Filed under: uncultured bacterium
Lineage: Bacteria
Description: partial 16S ribosomal RNA
Rfam family: Bacterial small subunit ribosomal RNA
Source: RNAcentral
UACGGGGGGGGCAAGCGUUGUUCGGAAUUACUGGGCGUAAAGGGCGCGUAGGCGGCCUUCUAAGUCGGACGUGAAAUCCCUCGGCUUAACCGAGGAACUGCGUCCGAUACUGAAAGGCUUGAAUCCGGGAGAGGGAUGUGGAAUUCCAGGUGUAGCGGUGAAAUGCGUAGAUAUCUGGAGGAACACCGGUGGCGAAGGCGGCAUCCUGGACCGGUAUUGACGCUGAGGCGCGAAAGCCAGGGGAGCAAACGGG